CCUACGGGGGGCUGCAGUGAGGAAUAUUGGUCAAUGGGCGCGAGCCUGAACCAGCCAAGUAGCGUGAAGGAUGACUGCCCUACGGGUUGUAAACUUCUUUUAUAAAGGAAUAAAGUGAGGCACGUGUGCCUUUUUGUAUGUACUUUAUGAAUAAGGCUCGGCUAAAUCCGUGCCAGCAGCCGCGGUAAUACGGAGGAUCCGAGCGUUAUCCGGAUUUAUGGGGUUUAAAGGGAGCGUAGAUGGGUUGUUAAGUCAGUUGUGAAAGUUUGCGGCUCAAACGUAAAAUUGCAAUUGAAACUGGCAGACUUGAGUACAGUAGAGGUAGGCGGAAUUCGUGGUGUAGCGGUGAAAUGCUUAGAUAUCACGAAGAACACCGAUUGCGAAGGCAGCUCACUAGACUGCAACUGACACUGAGGCUCGAAAGUGUGGGGAGCAAACAGGAUUAGAUACCCGAGUAGUC
RNAcentral lists this ribosomal RNA (460 nucleotides) under uncultured bacterium. RNAcentral's name for it is "partial 16S ribosomal RNA". It matches the Rfam family "Bacterial small subunit ribosomal RNA", at positions 338 to 795 of the family's 1533-position model. The record is from RNAcentral.